This 253-nucleotide ribosomal RNA is filed under the name uncultured bacterium. RNAcentral's name for it is "partial 16S ribosomal RNA". It matches the Rfam family "Bacterial small subunit ribosomal RNA", at positions 524 to 776 of the family's 1533-position model. The record is from RNAcentral.
UACGGAGGGUGCAAGCGUUAUCCGGAUUCACUGGGUUUAAAGGGUGCGUAGGUGGGCAGGUAAGUCAGUGGUGAAAUCUCCGGGCUUAACUCGGAAACUGCCGUUGAUACUAUCAAUCUUGAAUACCGUGGAGGUCAGCGGAAUAUGUCAUGUAGCGGUGAAAUGCUUAGAUAUGACAUAGAACACCAAUUGCGAAGGCAGCUGGCUACACGAAUAUUGACACUGAUGCACGAAAGCGUGGGGAUCAAACAGG